GUCAGUGUUAAUAGCGGCAAGGGUCCACCCGUUCCCAUUCCGAACACGGAAGUUAAGCUUGCCAGCGCCGAAGAUACUUGUCUGGUGACGGACCGGGAAAAUAGGUCAACGCUGACA
This 117-nucleotide ribosomal RNA is filed under the name Clostridiales bacterium. Lineage: Bacteria; Bacillati; Bacillota; Clostridia; Eubacteriales. The record is from RNAcentral.